Molecule: unclassified non-coding RNA, 110 nt
Organism: Otolemur garnettii (small-eared galago)
Lineage: Eukaryota; Metazoa; Chordata; Mammalia; Primates; Galagidae
Rfam family: Y RNA
About the family: Y RNAs are components of the Ro ribonucleoprotein particle (Ro RNP), in association with Ro60 and La proteins. The Y RNAs and Ro60 and La proteins are well conserved, but the function of the Ro RNP is not known. In humans the RNA component can be one of four small RNAs -- hY1, hY3, hY4 and hY5.
Source: Ensembl
AGCUGGUCUGAAGGUAGUGAGUGACCUCACGUGAUUGUUCACAGUCAGUGACAGGUCGAACUCCUUGUUCCUUUCUUCCCCCCCUUCUCGCUACUGCACUUGACUAAAAA